Molecule: ribosomal RNA, 485 nt
Filed under: uncultured bacterium
Lineage: Bacteria
Description: partial 16S ribosomal RNA
Rfam family: Bacterial small subunit ribosomal RNA
Source: RNAcentral
GAUUGAACGCUGGCGGCAUGCUUUACACAUGCAAGUCGAACGGCAGCGCGGGCUUCGGCCUGGCGGCGAGUGGCGAACGGGUGAGUAAUGCAUCGGAACGUGCCCAGUAGUGGGGGAUAGCCCGGCGAAAGCCGGAUUAAUACCGCAUACGACCUGAGGGUGAAAGCGGGGGACCGAAAUGCAUCGCGCUAUUGGAGCGGCCGAUGUCGGAUUAGCUAGUUGGUGGGGUAAAGGCUUACCAAGGCGACGAUCCGUAGCUGGUCUGAGAGGACGACCAGCCACACUGGGACUGAGACACGGCCCAGACUCCUACGGGAGGCAGCAGUGGGGAAUUUUGGACAAUGGGGGCAACCCUGAUCCAGCCAUGCCGCGUGCGGGAAGAAGGCCUUCGGGUUGUAAACCGCUUUUGUUCGGGAAGAAAUCCUCUGGGCUAAUACCCCGGGGGGAUGACGGUACCGGAAGAAUAAGCACCGGCUAACUACGUG